This 532-nucleotide long non-coding RNA is filed under the name Pan troglodytes (chimpanzee). Its description in RNAcentral is "lincRNA". The record is from RNAcentral. Lineage: Eukaryota; Metazoa; Chordata; Mammalia; Primates; Hominidae.
GCUUUGUUUACCUAAUCAAGCCUGGGCAAUGGCGGGCGCCCCUCCCCCAGCCUCGCUGCCGCCUUGCAGUUUGAUCUCAGACUGCGGUGCUAGCAAUCAGCGAGACUCCGUGGGCGUAGGACCCUCCGAGCCAGUUCCUGAGAGAUCCCAUGAUCCAGAGACAAAGGUGGCAGCUUUGGAGCAAGUGGAGAGCCAAGAAAAGGAUCCAGAACUGGAGUGGAAGAACAGCUGCUCUCUAGCCUACUUCAUUGACAGCACCAGCCAAGUGAAUAGGUCAGAGAAGAGAGAGACAGAGUCUCACUAUGUUGCCCAGGCUUGUCUUGAACUCCUGCCUUCAAGCAAUCCUCCCACCUCAGCCUCUCAAAGUGCUGGCAUUACAGCUGAAGCUAUGCCAUCUUUUAUGCCUGAUGAGGCAGUUUCAUCUGAUUUGAAGAUGAUGAAGAAAAGUUCUUUGCAAGGUUGCUUAUUGAAUAUUACUGGGAAAACAGGAAAAUUAGGAGGAAUGUUCUGGAGUGAUUUAUCUUUUUCAUCA